AACGAACGCUGGCGGCAUGCCUAACACAUGCAAGUCGAACGAAGGCUUCGGCCUUAGUGGCGCACGGGUGAGUAACGCGUGGGAAACUGCCUAUUGGUGGGGAAUAACGACGGGAAACUGUCGCUAAUACCGCAUAAGCCCUUCGGGGGAAAGAUUUAUCGCCGAUAGAUGUGCCCGCGUCCGAUUAGCUAGUUGGUGAGGUAAUGGCUCACCAAGGCGACGAUCGGCAGCUGGUCUGAGAGGAGUGAUCAGCCACACUGGGACUGAGACACGGCCCAGACUCCUACGGGAGGCAGCAGUGGGGAAUAUUGGACAAUGGGCGAAAGCCUGAUCCAGCAAUGCCGCGUGAGUGAUGAAGGCCUUAGGGUUGUAAAGCUCCUUCGGGUGGGACGAUGAUGACGGUACCACCAGAAGAAGCCCCGGCUAACUUCGUGCCAGCCGCCGCAGUAA
RNAcentral lists this ribosomal RNA (450 nucleotides) under uncultured bacterium. RNAcentral's name for it is "partial 16S ribosomal RNA". It matches the Rfam family "Bacterial small subunit ribosomal RNA", at positions 29 to 523 of the family's 1533-position model. The record is from RNAcentral.